Molecule: long non-coding RNA, 412 nt
Organism: Hibiscus syriacus
Lineage: Eukaryota; Viridiplantae; Streptophyta; Magnoliopsida; Malvales; Malvaceae
Exons: 3
Source: RefSeq, a predicted model, not a curated record
UUAUUUUUCUCUUCAGCCUCUCAUAAGUUAAUUGUUUUUGCUCCACAAUCUAAAAGCCGAUCUGAUAACCACGUUGUCGACCAUCGUUAUCGACACCGCCCUUAUCACGUUGCUCCUCUCGUCAGAUGAUCGAAACCCGUCCAGUCGUGUCUCCACCGUCGUCUCCGUUCGGGGGUGAAGGAAGGGAACUUUCGGUUUCUUAGAACCCGAAUAUCAUCUGCAAACCCUCAUCUCGUAAAUAGCAAAUUUGGAAAAUAUGGUUCUAAUGCUGCUGGACCUAGUGCUACCAAACGUGGGAAACAUGUUUAGAGUUAGCGUUACAACUUGCUAGAGAUUCUCGUGACCGAUAGGAUCGUCCUGGCAUUGGAGGAUCGACAAGCAAUAUUUUAUUAUUUUAUAUAGUAUGACCAUU